UACGUAGGGGGCUAGCGUUAUCCGGAAUUACUGGGCGUAAAGGGUGCGUAGGUGGUUUCUUAAGUCAGAGGUGAAAGGCUACGGCUCAACCGUAGUAAGCCUUUGAAACUGAGAAACUUGAGUGCAGGAGAGGAGAGUAGAAUUCCUAGUGUAGCGGUGAAAUGCGUAGAUAUUAGGAGGAAUACCAGUUGCGAAGGCGGCUCUCUGGACUGUAACUGACACUGAGGCACGAAAGCGUGGGGAGCAAACGGGAUUGGAUACCCUGGUAGUCCCUGAGCGGG
This 281-nucleotide ribosomal RNA is filed under the name uncultured prokaryote. RNAcentral describes it as "partial 16S ribosomal RNA". It matches the Rfam family "Bacterial small subunit ribosomal RNA", at positions 524 to 803 of the family's 1533-position model. The record is from RNAcentral.